Hyla sarda is the source of this 423-nucleotide long non-coding RNA. RefSeq lists it as uncharacterized. The record is from RefSeq and is a predicted model, not a curated record. The transcript is spliced from 3 exons. Lineage: Eukaryota; Metazoa; Chordata; Amphibia; Anura; Hylidae.
CUGAGGUAGCGGAGCUCACUCGCGCUCCGCUCCGGUGACAGAGGAGCAGCUGGGGAGCAUGGCAUGAUGUCUCCCGGCAGUUCCCGACUGUGAAGCUCCGGGUCAGAAGUAGAACGGCGAGGCGGCCGCAAGAAGUAUAAAGAUGUGGAGUAUGCGUGAUGACGUCUAAGUGGCCUGAUGAAGCGCCUAGGGGUGUGAUACAGUCAGUGGCCCGACUUCUGAACUCCCCCGGAUCCAUCAGCCGCCUCCCUGCUUGGGACUGACUCGGUCUAAGGAUCAGCUACCUAUGCUGACUACAAGAACGUAACCAGGACAAAUGCAGAAAUCGGGUAGAAACAUGAAAGAGAAGUGGAGAAAUGUUAAGUUAUGUAUACUAUUUACAAACACUCAUGAUAUCAUUUGACCAUCUACCAAUACUGUGAC